CAGGAUGAACGCUGGCGGCGUGCUUAACACAUGCAAGUCGAACGGAGUCUGCAUGAAACCUAGUGAUUGUAGACUUAGUGGCGGACGGGUGAGUAACGCGUGGGUAACCUGCCUUGUACUGGGGGACAACAGUUGGAAACGACUGCUAAUACCGCAUAAGCGCACAGCUUCGCAUGAAGCAGUGUGAAAAACUGAGGUGGUACAAGAUGGACCCGCGUCUGAUUAGCUGGUUGGUGAGGUAACGGCUCACAAAGGCGACGAUCAGUAGCCGGCCUGAGAGGGUGAACGGCCACAUUGGGACUGAGACACGGCCCAAACUCCUACGGGAGGCAGCAGUGGGGAAUAUUGCACAAUGGGGGAAACCCUGAUGCAGCGACGCCGCGUGAGUGAAGAAGUAUUUCGGUAUGUAAAGCUCUAUCAGCAGGGAAGAAAGAAAUGACGGUACCUGACUAAGAAGCCCCGGCUAACUACGUGCCAGCAGCCGCGGUAAUACGUAGGGGGCAAGCGUUAUCCGGAUUUACUGGGUGUAAAGGGAGCGUAGACGGCAUGGCAAGUCUGAAGUGAAAUGCCAGGGCUUAACCCUGGAACUGCUUUGGAAACUGUCUAGCUAGAGUGCAGGAGAGGUAAGUGGAAUUCCUAGUGUAGCGGUGAAAUGCGUAGAUAUUAGGAGGAACACCAGUGGCGAAGGCGGCUUACUGGACUGUAACUGACGUUGAGGCUCGAAGGCGUGGGGAGCAAACAGGAUUAGAUACCCUGGUAGUCCACGCGGUAAACGAUGAAUACUAGGUGUAGGAGGGCAAAGCCCUUCGGUGCCGCAGCAAACGCAAUAAGUAUU
RNAcentral lists this ribosomal RNA (835 nucleotides) under uncultured Bacillota bacterium. Its description in RNAcentral is "bacterial SSU rRNA". It matches the Rfam family "Bacterial small subunit ribosomal RNA", at positions 25 to 868 of the family's 1533-position model. The record is from RNAcentral. Lineage: Bacteria; Bacillati; Bacillota.